GCGUUGCGAGGAAUUACUGGGCGUAAAGGGCGCGUAGGCGGACAAUUAAGUCGGGGGUGAUAGCCCGGGGCUCAACCUCGGAAUUGCCUUCGAUACUGGUCGUCUUGAGUACGGGAGAGGUGUGUGGAACUCCGAGUGUAGAGGUGAAAUUCGUAGAUAUUCGGAAGAACACCAGUGGCGAGGGCGACACACUGGCCCGUUACUGACGCUGAGGCGCGAAAGCGUG
Molecule: ribosomal RNA, 226 nt
Filed under: uncultured bacterium
Lineage: Bacteria
Description: partial 16S ribosomal RNA
Rfam family: Bacterial small subunit ribosomal RNA
Source: RNAcentral